Molecule: long non-coding RNA, 444 nt
Organism: Xyrauchen texanus (razorback sucker)
Lineage: Eukaryota; Metazoa; Chordata; Actinopteri; Cypriniformes; Catostomidae
Exons: 3
Source: RefSeq, a predicted model, not a curated record
CUGUCUGCCGGGCAGCGGAGCGCAGCGCACUGAGCUUGUCACAAGUCCCAGAACCAGUAUUGGUAAGAGGGCCGAUUGAACACUCAUCCUUCUGACCAGCAUGGACACAGAUCUCAGGCUCUCGUCAUUUCGAAAAAGGAAGAAGAAUGUCUCAAGUGACACGGCUUCCCAGGUUCCCCCAGAGAAAUUCCAUUGUGACCGCCAGGAAGCUCUCGAACCUGUGAAAUGAUGUCACUUGAGGCAGUUUAGGAAAAAGAGGGGGAUGGUCCCAAGAGGAACUCCCUUUUUGCUGGACCGCUUAGAGACUUCAAUACCUAUGCGAUCACUUUCACAGUAGGGCGGAAUAUAUCUGCAACCUGGAACAGGAUUCUUCAUUCACCAACAUUGAUUAAGUUUAAAUAUAUAUAUAUGUAUAUUUGAAUAUGUAUAGUUAAAUGAAGAGCA